GGUAGAAGUUUCCUUGGCACGUGUGUUUCUGCAAAUGUGAACUGCUGCCUUCCUCAGAGUAUCUGGAUGCCCAUCUCCCACCUAAGCCCCCGAGGAAGUCAUGAUCAGGGGGAAGACAGAUGUGUAUCCCCCUAUGUCAUAUGCAGGACCCAACCAGGUAGGUGUGCUCAGAGGGGGUCCCUUCAAAAUUUGUAUGACUCCACAAGUGGAGCAAGUGGUGAUGGUGCCACUGCCUACCUUAACUUUUAGCCCAGUGGUUCGAGCUCUCCCCUGGGAUGUGGGAAACCCACGUUCAGUCUCCCACUCCAACCAGGGGGAGAGGAUUUGACCAGGGUUCUCCUGCCUCUCAGCUGAGUUCUCUAACCGCUGGUGGAGCCAGGUUUUACGAUGGGACAUUUUUAGUGUUUGGGCGAGGGAGCCAGCUUCAGCUUACCCAGCAGCUGUGGCUCCUGCCCGGUGGGACUGGGCUCUGCACCCCAUCCUAGGCACUGCAUCAUGGUGCACAGGGUCACAGAGCCAUUCAGGCUUGGCUUGGCCGCCCCUCCAUCUUGACAGAGGGGCAGACAGGCCAAAUAUGAGUGAGUGACUUUGGAGCAUGGUGCAUGGGACCAAAGCGCCGUACAACCCCCUGUGCCUUAUCGCAGUGCAGGGAGUGGGGAGCCAAGCCCAGACCUGAAGGACAGAAACCACCGCUGAUGGGUGAGAGUGGGGCAGGCUCACUCUCCAGCCCACCACCAAUGACCCAUUGCCCCCUGGUUGCUAAAGGCACCACGCAUACACCUGCAAGGGGAUGGUCACCCUUCUUUCUUUCCCCCUUAGGGGCUGCACCCCUGGCUCUAACCACUGAGCUGUGGGACAGUCUGGGGUGGGGCUCCCUCAGCCUCUCCCAUUGAAGCUGUACCACUGUGGAUAUAUCAUGAAAGAGUGAGUGGAGGAGGGAGCUGGAGCCUAGAUCUCACCCCUCCCAGGUGGGUGCCCGAACCACUGGACUAAUGAGUCUCUCUCUCUCUCGCCCAAUGACUAUUGAAGUAUUUAUCCAAAGUGAAGCAGUUUCAACAGGAGGGACUGAGUGAGCCCUACCUCUGACUGUCCCAUAGCCCAGUGGUUUGAGGACCCUGCUGAGGGAAAUUCCGUGAGAUUCUGAGCACUGAUGUGGGGAUAGACUCCUUAACAGAGAAAAUAGGUAACCAGCCAGCUCCCCCUGCUGCAUCUGGAUCACAUGAAGUCCAAUAUGAGCUGAG
Molecule: non-coding RNA, 1241 nt
Organism: Chelonoidis abingdonii (Abingdon island giant tortoise)
Lineage: Eukaryota; Metazoa; Chordata; Testudines; Testudinidae
Source: RefSeq, a predicted model, not a curated record